CAGUCCACACCACCGCCUCCUUCCCUUGAAUGACCACAGAACCUAGACUCUUACACUCCAACUUCCACAGAGCAGCCAGUGGGCCCCCUAGAUGUCCAGCACCCAGAACAAUGCCUUGAAUAUAGUAAACGCUUAAGAAUUUCUGUGGAAGGGACACCUGGGUGGCUCAGCAGUUGAGCGUCUGCCUUUGGCUCAGGGUGUGAUCACCAAGUCCCAGGAUAGAGUCCUACAUCGGGCUCCCUGCAUGUUUCUCCCUCUGCUUGUGUCUCUGCCUCUCUCUGUGUCUCUGUCAUGAAUAAAUAAAAUCUUAAAAAAAAAAAUUCUGUGGAAGGAACGAACGACUCCAUCAAACUAUAUUGGUAUUUCGACCAAUUUCCACGGUGUGCAUAAUGGAACAACUCACUUUAUGCAUGUAAAAUUAGUAAAAUGAAAGGAAAUGUCCUCUCUGUGUAGUAACACAGGCACAGUGCUCAGACAUAUUAUUGCAUCUUUCUUUCCUUUCACAACUUAUUUUGGUUUCCAAAGUAUAUAUGCAACCUGAUCAUUGAUUUAGAACAUUCAGAUCAUAAACUGCCAUUCAUAAACAAUCUUUUAAAAUGCAAAACGUAGGUUUAGAGAAUAUGCUUCCCCUCGCCAGCACUGCAAGAUAAACGGAUGUCCAACUUCCACUAAUUUUAUUUGGUUUUCGAUAAGCUAAACCAAGUGCAAGGAACAUUUCAGAGCUGUUGAAUAGAGUCAACAUCUUUCAUCUUCGUGUCAGGUUUCUAAAGGACCCCCCAGAUUAUCCUCAAAAGGCCAUAUUUCCGCUAUUCUUCCCGAUAUAUACUAAAAACCGUGUAAAAUGUAUUUCUGCCUUAAUUUCAGACAGAAUGGGAGGACGCACCCUAUGUGCACUCAGGCUUGCAAAGCCACCGUCCCGUCACCUGCCUCUCCAGGCCCAGGCGGGCCGGGCCACUCGCAAAUGGCAAACGCUGGAGGCGAACGUGCUCGCCGCCGGGUCCGUCUCCGGCCAAGGGAGUAUCCUCAGGUGCCCGACGGAACUGCAGAGGCUCGGGCUGCUGUCAGGCACCGAGGGCCGACAACCGUCCCGCGAAACGUCUCUUCACUUGUGACACAUUGUAUAAGAAUGUGGUUAAGUGGAGACAAUGUUAUCAGCCCGCGGAGAGGAGGGGAAGCCCGCGCCGUGACCUCGGGCGCCCGCUGCGCAGCCCCGGCACCGCGGGGAACCGGCUGCGGGCAGUGAUGUGACAGCGAUUUCAGCUCCUUGAGCCCAAGCAGAACUUCAGCAUUUACAGCACGAAGAGCCGGUGAUCAUCUCUCCAUCCGUUCCACCUCCCAUUUUAAAAUAAGGAAACAUAUCAUCUGCUUUCCAGAAUCCCUGCAUUUUCUUCUGCUCCACACCACCCUAGGUAAAGUGCAAUUUGUCGUUAAAAAAAUAAAAAUAAAAAAUUAUACUUCCUCUCA
RNAcentral lists this long non-coding RNA (1464 nucleotides) under Vulpes vulpes (red fox). RNAcentral describes it as "lncRNA (ENSVVUG00000000959.1)". Lineage: Eukaryota; Metazoa; Chordata; Mammalia; Carnivora; Canidae. The record is from RNAcentral.